Molecule: ribosomal RNA, 407 nt
Filed under: uncultured bacterium
Lineage: Bacteria
Description: partial 16S ribosomal RNA
Rfam family: Bacterial small subunit ribosomal RNA
Source: RNAcentral
GACGAACGCUGGCGGCGUGCCUAAUACAUGCAAGUAGGACGCAGUUGCGAACGGGUGAGUAACGCGUAGGUAACUACCUAUUAGAGGGGGAUAACUAUUGGAAACGAUAGCUAAUACCGCCUACUAGUAGAUGGACCUGCGUUGUAUUAGCUAGUAGGUCGGGUAAUGGCCUACCUAGGCAACGAUACAUGGCCGAGCCUGGAGGGGGACCGGCCAAACUGGGAAUGAGGAACGGGCCAGAACCCUACGGGAGGGAGCAGUAGGGAAUCAUCGGCAAUGGGGGGAACCCUGACCGAGCAACGCCGCGGGAGUGAAGAAGGGUUUCGGAUCGUAAAGCUCUGUUGUUCAGGAAGCGGUACUUAACCAGAAAGGGACGGCUAACUACGUGCCAGCAGCCGCGGUAAUAC